CAAGUCCCUAUCUGAAACUUUCCGGAUUCGACUUCGGUUGGUCUGGGUAUAUUGGCGCGUUGGAUCAGCAAUUGCGUUGGUCUAGCGAGCCAAGGAAUUGACGGAUGGGUUCCACUUUGUGGGCCUGUUAUAUAUUCGGGAUUGACGGAAAUUCUCGGCCAUACCUGGGGUCAAUGGAUUAAUUUCUAUUGCAUCUCAUAAGUACGGUCCUUGUUGGCUGGGGUGCCUAUCCUGUCUGAUACCUGUUAUGGUGUGCUCGUGGCUUCGGCUGCCAGUUCAUGCCUAGGUGAUGGGACAGUACUGUAUCUAUCUCAGUGCUAGGCUUAAUGAGAAGUCGUGACCAUGUGUCCGGCUUCCGCCCCAUUUCAUUGUUUCAAACACCAUUUUACACUGUUUAAGUUAGUUGGGUCGGCCUAGCCGGUCUGAUUAGCUGCCCCUGCAUGCCUCCGGUUGUCUUGUAUGACUGGUACGCAUGUCCAGUCGCCUGGCGGUGCCUCAUCCUGGGCUUGACUGUAAAACCAUGUGUUCUCAAUUAUUCGGUUUACCGGGUUUUUGAGGGCAUUGUAGUA
RNAcentral lists this unclassified non-coding RNA (569 nucleotides) under Posthodiplostomum sp. NSMT:Pl_5926. Its description in RNAcentral is "ITS1". The record is from RNAcentral. Lineage: Eukaryota; Metazoa; Platyhelminthes; Trematoda; Diplostomida; Diplostomidae.